UGGCCCGUUAAUAAGCCCAAAGGUUAUUAUGCUGUGCUGUCCCAUCAAAUCGUACGGACGGUCAUGGAAGCUUCUUAGACUGAAGAGCGACGCACAGAAAUAGUGUCAGUAUUUUCCGGAGGAGAAGAUGGCGGACGCUAGGGCAGUUGCCGAGAGCUACUCUCUGCUGGUUCUCAACGUUAAUUUCCGAACAACUUCGGAUGAUCUGUUUCCUCUUUUCAGUAAGUAUGGAAAGGUCAUGGAAGUAUAUAUCCCGAGAGAUCGGAGGACUGGUGAAUCGCGUGGUUUUGCAUUUGUUCGCAAUAUGCACAAAGAUGAGGCACAGAAGGCCAUGGAUAAGCUAGAUGGGAGAGUUGUUGAUGGGAGAGAAAUUGCUGUCCAAUUUGCAAACUAUGGCCCACGUGCAGAACCAAUCCACGAAGGAAGGAUUGUGGCUGUUUCACGAGGCCAACGUAGAUCAAGAAGUAGGAGUCCUAGGAGAAGGUAUGAAGAUGAUUACCAUGGAGACAGAGAUUAUAGGAGGGGAAACCAGAGCAGAAGUUUCCGAGGAUACGAACAAGAUAGGUAUGAAGAAAGGGACCCACGCUAUUGGUAUAGAAGCAGAAGUUAUAGUCCAGAUUAUGAUAGAGGUCGUGAGAGAAGUCGAUAUGACGAUGGACAACAAAGCCGGCUCAGAUCAUAUGAAAGGUCUGCCCGUGAGAGAAGUCGAUACGAUGAUGGACAACAAAGCUGGCUCAGAUCAUAUGAAAGGUCUGCCCGUGAGAGAAGUCGAUAUGAUGAUGGACAACAAAGUUGGCUCAGAUCAUAUGAAAGGUCUGCCCGUAAGAGAAGUCGAUAUGAUGAUGGACAACAAAGCCGGCUCAGAUCAUAUGAAAGGAGUUUGUCUCCAAGAGGGACGCGAUCACCUAGAAACGGACAUCCUAUGAGACGUGGCUUUGGUUCUCAGUAAUUCUUGGAAUUUUACAUGCAAUGCUUGUGAACUGCCUGUGGAGGGACUAUUUUCGACUCCAGUUGAUUUGCUGAGCAUCGGACUGAUGCAUGUUCUAUAGUGAGCACUAGUGAACUAGGAGCUACUCAUUAUCCAUUUAUCUGCAUCGCCGCCAGUCUUGGAAGAAAACCUGUAGUUGAUUUUGUAGCACUGAUCAAGAAAGAAAUGACAUGUUUGGUUGGAGAGAUGUUGAUGCGUAAUCGUAAUCGGCGAAUUGAUGCAAGGGUGUUGAGAUGUCUUGUACUGAUCUUUAGUUUUGGUAAAAUUUCUCCCUAAUGAAAGAGAAAUACAUUAGACAACUGUUUUGAAUACAUCCUUAUGUGAUCCUGAUUCUCUCUUCACUCUUGCUAAUCUUCAAGGGGAUUUUUUUUGGUAUCCAUGAAUUCACGGUCACACGUCCAACCCCCACACCGCCAUCGCCAGGCCAUCCCAUCCCAUCCCUUAUGAAUCGCUAACAACCUUGUUUGAUUGAGCUUUCUUUUGGGUUAAAUUAUCUGGCUGACAGCAUUCAGCCCAGGUACUGAGCAGUUUUCAUGUCAAAGAAAAUAUAAGCGCAACCGGAUGAUUCCUUACCAAAUUGGUGAAUCUCUAACUUGUUAUGCAUUUAACACUUACCAUCCACUAUUUGCAAACAAGAAAUGGAAAUCAAAACAAAAAAGAAUGGAAAGUAGAGGAGCUGAACAUCAAGACACUUCCAGAAAAUAUAUCUUACACCCGAA
RNA transcript from Andrographis paniculata, 1707 nucleotides. It is a transcript of the gene named serine/arginine-rich splicing factor SC35-like, with no coding region annotated. NCBI's taxonomy places the organism in Eukaryota, Viridiplantae, Streptophyta, Magnoliopsida, Lamiales, Acanthaceae. The record is from RefSeq and is a predicted model, not a curated record. The transcript is spliced from 9 exons.